GAUGAACGCUGGCGGCGUGCCUAAUACAUGCAAGUCGAGCGAACAGACGAGGAGCUUGCUCCUCUGACGUUAGCGGCGGACGGGUGAGUAACACGUGGAUAACCUACCUAUAAGACUGGGAUAACUUCGGGAAACCGGAGCUAAUACCGGAUAAUAUAUUGAACCGCAUGGUUCAAUAGUGAAAGACGGUUUUGCUGUCACUUAUAGAUGGAUCCGCGCCGCAUUAGCUAGUUGGUAAGGUAACGGCUUACCAAGGCAACGAUGCGUAGCCGACCUGAGAGGGUGAUCGGCCACACGGGAACUGGGACACGGUCCAGGCUCCUACGGGAGGCAGCAGUAGGGAAUCUUCCGCAAUGGGCGAAAGCCUGACGGAGCAACGCCGCGUGAGUGAUGAAGGUCUUCGGAUCGUAAAACUCUGUUAUUAGGGAAGAACAAAUGUGUAAGUAACUAUGCACGUCUUGACGGUACCUAAUCAGAAAGCCACGGCUAACUACGUG
Molecule: ribosomal RNA, 497 nt
Filed under: uncultured bacterium
Lineage: Bacteria
Description: partial 16S ribosomal RNA
Rfam family: Bacterial small subunit ribosomal RNA
Source: RNAcentral